This 320-nucleotide unclassified non-coding RNA is filed under the name plant metagenome. Its description in RNAcentral is "partial contains 5.8S ribosomal RNA, internal transcribed spacer 2, and large subunit ribosomal RNA". The stretch from base 1 to 105 matches the Rfam family "5.8S ribosomal RNA", at positions 50 to 154 of the family's 154-position model. The record is from RNAcentral.
GAAAUGCGAUAAGUAAUGUGAAUUGCAGAAUUCAGUGAAUCAUCGAAUCUUUGAACGCACAUUGCGCCCGCCAGUAUUCUGGCGGGCAUGCCUGUUCGAGCGUCAUGACAACCCUCAGGCCCCCGGGCCUGGCGUUGGGGAUCGGCGGAAGCCCCCUGCGGGCACAACGCCGUCCCCCAAAUACAGUGGCGGUCCCGCCGCAGCUUCCAUUGCGUAGUAGCUAACACCUCGCAACUGGAGAGCGGCGCGGCCACGCCGUAAAACACCCAACUUCUGAAUGUUGACCUCGAAUCAGGUAGGAAUACCCGCUGAACUUAAGC